RNAcentral lists this ribosomal RNA (1555 nucleotides) under Staphylococcus aureus. RNAcentral's name for it is "16S ribosomal RNA". It matches the Rfam family "Bacterial small subunit ribosomal RNA". The record is from RNAcentral. Lineage: Bacteria; Bacillati; Bacillota; Bacilli; Caryophanales; Staphylococcaceae.
UUUAUGGAGAGUUUGAUCCUGGCUCAGGAUGAACGCUGGCGGCGUGCCUAAUACAUGCAAGUCGAGCGAACGGACGAGAAGCUUGCUUCUCUGAUGUUAGCGGCGGACGGGUGAGUAACACGUGGAUAACCUACCUAUAAGACUGGGAUAACUUCGGGAAACCGGAGCUAAUACCGGAUAAUAUUUUGAACCGCAUGGUUCAAAAGUGAAAGACGGUCUUGCUGUCACUUAUAGAUGGAUCCGCGCUGCAUUAGCUAGUUGGUAAGGUAACGGCUUACCAAGGCAACGAUGCAUAGCCGACCUGAGAGGGUGAUCGGCCACACUGGAACUGAGACACGGUCCAGACUCCUACGGGAGGCAGCAGUAGGGAAUCUUCCGCAAUGGGCGAAAGCCUGACGGAGCAACGCCGCGUGAGUGAUGAAGGUCUUCGGAUCGUAAAACUCUGUUAUUAGGGAAGAACAUAUGUGUAAGUAACUGUGCACAUCUUGACGGUACCUAAUCAGAAAGCCACGGCUAACUACGUGCCAGCAGCCGCGGUAAUACGUAGGUGGCAAGCGUUAUCCGGAAUUAUUGGGCGUAAAGCGCGCGUAGGCGGUUUUUUAAGUCUGAUGUGAAAGCCCACGGCUCAACCGUGGAGGGUCAUUGGAAACUGGAAAACUUGAGUGCAGAAGAGGAAAGUGGAAUUCCAUGUGUAGCGGUGAAAUGCGCAGAGAUAUGGAGGAACACCAGUGGCGAAGGCGACUUUCUGGUCUGUAACUGACGCUGAUGUGCGAAAGCGUGGGGAUCAAACAGGAUUAGAUACCCUGGUAGUCCACGCCGUAAACGAUGAGUGCUAAGUGUUAGGGGGUUUCCCGCCCCUUAGUGCUGCAGCUAACGCAUUAAGCACUCCGCCUGGGGAGUACGACCGCAAGGUUGAAACUCAAAGGAAUUGACGGGGACCCGCACAAGCGGUGGAGCAUGUGGUUUAAUUCGAAGCAACGCGAAGAACCUUACCAAAUCUUGACAUCCUUUGACAACUCUAGAGAUAGAGCCUUCCCCUUCGGGGGACAAAGUGACAGGUGGUGCAUGGUUGUCGUCAGCUCGUGUCGUGAGAUGUUGGGUUAAGUCCCGCAACGAGCGCAACCCUUAAGCUUAGUUGCCAUCAUUAAGUUGGGCACUCUAAGUUGACUGCCGGUGACAAACCGGAGGAAGGUGGGGAUGACGUCAAAUCAUCAUGCCCCUUAUGAUUUGGGCUACACACGUGCUACAAUGGACAAUACAAAGGGCAGCGAAACCGCGAGGUCAAGCAAAUCCCAUAAAGUUGUUCUCAGUUCGGAUUGUAGUCUGCAACUCGACUACAUGAAGCUGGAAUCGCUAGUAAUCGUAGAUCAGCAUGCUACGGUGAAUACGUUCCCGGGUCUUGUACACACCGCCCGUCACACCACGAGAGUUUGUAACACCCGAAGCCGGUGGAGUAACCUUUUAGGAGCUAGCCGUCGAAGGUGGGACAAAUGAUUGGGGUGAAGUCGUAACAAGGUAGCCGUAUCGGAAGGUGCGGCUGGAUCACCUCCUUUCU